Molecule: long non-coding RNA, 1572 nt
Organism: Strigops habroptila (Kakapo)
Lineage: Eukaryota; Metazoa; Chordata; Aves; Psittaciformes; Psittacidae
Exons: 3
Source: RefSeq, a predicted model, not a curated record
GAAACACGAAGAGGAAGUGGGAAGGAGCAAGCUUUGUGUUUCCACUGCUUCAUACAUCUGUGAAGAAGAAGCAGACCCACAUCAUAAAACCAACUGAAAGCCAUGGAGGAAAUGCUGCCAUGUCACUAGUACCUCUGACAAGCAGAGUAUAACAAGCAACAGAUUCACUGGGAAAAUACUUCCUAUCUGUUAGAAGAAGAUGACAGUUUUCAAAUAGAUGAUGCAUGAUUUAGAUUUGUUGGUGAGAUACGUACACUGGAUUUCGCAUUAAAUCUAUCACCGAAUACACAUUUAUCAUGGUAACAAGAAAGCAUCAUUUAAUAGAGCUGCUAAUAUGCCUGCUCAGGAUAUGUAUUGGUCCUUUCCAGGGCACUGAGAUAUCAGUGCUUGGGUUUCAGAGGCCCUGCUUUCAGCAAGAGCUGCACUUCCGAAGAUCAAGACACAGACUCUUUACAACAGACUAAUCCAAGGUGAAAACAAACAAACAAACAAACCUGAAGGAUAUGGGAGUUGGAUCUUUCUAUGGAAAAAAUGAAGAGGCCUGUGUCAUUUGCUCUGCCACUCAAUUGGUCACAAAUCCUAUUCUGGUUAGAGAGAUAUUGCUGACUUUUCUUUUUAAUAGAAGUGGGAGAUGGGUUAGAAACCUGAGCAUCGAAAGGCUUUUUGAAGAUUGUCAAGUGCUUGGGGGAGAAGCAGGCAGUCAGCAACAUCAAAACCUAAUGUGAUUCUCCUGAAAGGCACUCCGAUGCACUGGAAAUACCACAUCUCCACUCCUGGGACCUAGUGCAGUUAUCUAGGGAAAACUGAGUAAUUUCCAAACUAUUGACUUGCCAGUAGGGCUACAUCAAUGUGGCCUGAUGGUUUCCAGCAAAAGGCUCCCAGUAGUCUUAAAAAAGCUGACAAGUCAUAGAGCUGUUUGUUGCUGUUUGUGAGCCAGAAGAGUAUGGGACAUCAGUUACCAUGAAGAAGGGGUUGCAGGUGUCAUGAAAGCAAGUGGAAGUAGACUCUGCUUUGCUCACAGGACUUCUCUGUAUGACAGCUAUGGCCAAACCAUUUACUGCCAUCAAGAGGCAGCUAUGAGAGAAGAAUAUGAAAUAUGUUCUUCCUUAUCCAGGAAACAUACAGUGUUUCCCAAUGACCAAUUUAUUAUUUUCACCCUGUCCAGCAAUACAGAAGGGUGCAUCAGGGAUCUGCCUUUCUCUGCUCUGAAUAACUUAAGUCAGGCUGCAACGUGUGAAAUAAUUGAGCUGACCAGAAUUUACAGCUCUAGGUGGAGUUUCUUCUUUCUAUUGGCUUUGUGAGUCAUGACAAUAAGAGUUACCACAUGAUGCAGAGUGUACAUGCUCGUUUCUUUCUCAUUUUUCAUUUUCAGACUGUUCCAUGGCUCAGAUCAGCUCUAGCAUGGUCCAGCUCUCUUAGGCAAGAGUCUCUACAGUGAUAAGGUAUCAUCUUUAAAAAUCAGAGCAACAGACAGAUCAUGCAAGCUAUGCUCUUUCAUUUUUCACUCUCAUCUUCACAUAGUAAGUCCCGCAUGACUUUCAGAGAGGCCUGUCUUGUUUAAUGUGGACUUUG